UUGCCCGAAUCCUGACACAGGGAGGUAGUGACAAGAAAUAACAAUACAGGGCUACUUCUAGUCUUGUAAUUGGAAUGAGUACAACUUACAUCCCUUCACGAGGAUCAACUGGAGGGCAAGUCUGGUGCCAGCAGCCGCGGUAAUUCCAGCUCCAGAAGCGUAUAUUAAAGUUGUUGCAGUUAAAACGCUCGUAGUAGGGUUUCGGGUCGGGCCGAGCGGUCUGCCGAUGGGUAUGCACUGUUUGGCGCGGCCUUCUUUCCGGAGACCGCGGCUACUCUUAACUGAGCGGGCGUGGGAGACGGAUCGUUUACUUUGAAAAAAUCAGAGUGUUUCAAGCAGGCAGCUCGCUCUUGCAUGGUACAGCAUGGGAUGAUUGAAUAGGACUCCGGUGCUAUUUUGUUGGUUUCGAACACCAGGAGUAAUGAUUAACAGGGACAGUCAGGGGCACUCGUAUUCCGUCGAGAGAGGUGAAAUUCUCAGACCAAUGGAAGACGAACCACUGCGAAAGCAUUUGCCAGGGAUGUUUUCACUGAUCAAGAACGAAAGUUAGGGGAUCGAAGACGAUCAGAUACCGUCGUAGUCUUAACCAUAAACCAUGCCGACUAGGGAUUGGAGGGUGUUCGUUUCGACCUCUUCAGCACCUUACGGGAAACUAAAGUCUUUGGGUUCCGGGGGGAGUAUGGUCGCAAGGCUGAAGCUUAAAGGAAUUGAC
This 712-nucleotide ribosomal RNA is filed under the name uncultured marine Phaeocystaceae. RNAcentral's name for it is "SSU rRNA". It matches the Rfam family "Eukaryotic small subunit ribosomal RNA", at positions 441 to 1157 of the family's 1831-position model. The record is from RNAcentral. Lineage: Eukaryota; Haptophyta; Phaeocystales; Phaeocystaceae.